RNAcentral lists this ribosomal RNA (500 nucleotides) under uncultured bacterium. Its description in RNAcentral is "bacterial SSU rRNA". It matches the Rfam family "Bacterial small subunit ribosomal RNA", at positions 997 to 1512 of the family's 1533-position model. The record is from RNAcentral.
CGAAGCGAAAGCGGAGCGACCCUUCGGGGAGCAAUCACAGGUGCUGCAUGGCUGUCGUCAGCUCGUGUCGUGAGAUGUUCGGUUAAGUCCGCUAACGAGCGCAACCCUCGCCGCGUGUUAUACGUGUCACGCGGGACUGCCAGUCUUAAGCUGGAGGAAGGUGGGGAUGACGUCAAGUCAGCAUGGCCUUUAUGUCCUGGGCUACACACACGCUACAAUGGCCGGUACAAUGGGUCGCGAAGUCGCGAGGCGAAGCCAAUCCACAAAGCCGGUCUCAGUUCAGAUUGCAGGCUGCAACCCGCCUGCAUGAAGACGGAGUUGCUAGUAACCGCAGGUCAGCUAUACUGCGGUGAAUACGUUCCCGGGCCUUGUACACACCGCCCGUCACGUCAUGGGAGCUGGUAACACCUGAAGCCGGUAUCCGAACCGCAAGGAGGGAGCCGUCGAGGGUGGGGCUGGUGACUGGGACGAAGUCGUAACAAGGUAGGUGUACCGGAAGG